This is a non-coding RNA of Anas platyrhynchos (mallard), 348 nucleotides long. NCBI's taxonomy places the organism in Eukaryota, Metazoa, Chordata, Aves, Anseriformes, Anatidae. The record is from RefSeq and is a predicted model, not a curated record.
GCUGAAGGAGACCCUUACUGGAACGCAGCCGCUCUGCAAUCUCCUGAAGAAGGUUGUUCCACCUGGUAAAGAGAUUGGAUGAAUGAUCAAACCUUGGUAGCUCAAAAGAACUACACCUGCCCCUCUUCCUCACUGUUUGUGGCAAGAGGCAUGGUAUUCCUUUUCACCUGAAGGUUAUCAACUUGGACUUUCACAGCUUCCAAAGAACCAGUAAGGAGAUAGAAACGGGACAGAGAAUAUCUGGCUUCCAUCAGGUAACUGUUCAGUUCUUCAUAAGCCACUUUGUAAAUGCUCCACUGAUCAAGAACAGAUUGCAACAAUAUCUUUAGUUGGCUGACCUAGGAAGAG